GGCCAUAGGUGUUAAGAGUAUCCAGUACAGGGUUAUGCAGAUUUAAAAAGUCGACGUUUAAAUCUCCUGUCAAAAUCCUAAUAUCAAAAUAAAGAAAAAGCGUUUAUUAUAUGUUCCAAGUCGACCAAUAUAUUAUUAAUAUUUAAGCGUGGAGGGCGAUAGAAACCUCCUACAAUAAUUUUCAUGAAAUCUAUAAGAUUCCAAGUGACACCACGGCAAGAACAAGAAGGAGCCACCCGAUGCAGCUGAAGCCCCAAAUACACGCAGUCAAUCGUCUAUCCCCAGGGUUUUUACAACAGCCAAGAACCGGCAAGAAAUCGUAUUAAACAAUGUAUAUAAAAAUCAAAAAUAAAUUCUAUGUUUAUACGAAAACGAAAAGACCCAAAUGUUAAAGCGUGUUAGUACUUCAUACUUCCAUAAACAGGACAAAAGUUGGUUUAAACAACAAAUAAAAUGUAAAAUUAUAAAGCCCAUUUUCUUAUAACCACGUAUUGAAUUGACUUGUUGAUAAAAUAGAAUAAAAUGCUUGUGUCUCUUUUCUUUAAAUAAACAGUAAAAUAGGCAAUAAUAAUAUAA
Long non-coding RNA from Anthonomus grandis grandis, 576 nucleotides. RefSeq lists it as uncharacterized. The record is from RefSeq and is a predicted model, not a curated record. Lineage: Eukaryota; Metazoa; Arthropoda; Insecta; Coleoptera; Curculionidae. The transcript is spliced from 2 exons.